GUUGGAUCGAAAGUUAGACUCUGUGCAGUUAUUGUAGCAGUAGCAGUUGUGGAGAAACAGGGCACGUGCUCCUUCUUGAAGCUAUGAUCACGAUCGCGGUCGCCGAUUACGAUAGCUGCGGCGGAAGUGGCGGUAGUGCUAUACGGAGAGGAAUCGAGGAGCGGCGGAAGGUGAGAGACGGAAGACGGUGAACUCACUUCCUG
RNAcentral lists this unclassified non-coding RNA (203 nucleotides) under Hevea brasiliensis (rubber tree). The record is from RNAcentral. Lineage: Eukaryota; Viridiplantae; Streptophyta; Magnoliopsida; Malpighiales; Euphorbiaceae.